Long non-coding RNA from Zalophus californianus (California sea lion), 1056 nucleotides. RefSeq lists it as uncharacterized. The transcript has 3 exons. The record is from RefSeq and is a predicted model, not a curated record. NCBI's taxonomy places the organism in Eukaryota, Metazoa, Chordata, Mammalia, Carnivora, Otariidae.
GGAGAGAGCCGGCGCGGCCCACGGGCGGCCUGGGGAAGGGCGGGGCGGGAGCGCAGGACGCCUGCUGCCCGGGCAGGUACUGGACGAAGCAGGAGGGGAAAGGCAGGCAAGACUGGCCGCUCGCGUGAGGACAGAGGGAGAGAAGCUUGUUCUUCUGAAUCGUUUCUGAAAGAAGGACCAAAGUCAUGCCAAGAACUCCCAGAUGAAGAGGACCUUCGUGGAUCUGUAACUAGGAUUAACCAAUUCUUUACUUCAAGAAAAAGUUUCAACGAAUUCUGAGGAUAAAGCCAAACAGGCCGGUGACUGUCCCUUGAGUACUGAGUGUAAACAAGCUUCUGGCUCCUCCAGGUCAAGCAGAGAAACUCUUCUCAUUAGAAUGUUGGGUUUCUUCUUUGUUAUUCAAACGUACACCCACACAUAUCCUCUUCACCCUCCCUAAUGAAAAACCUCAACAGAUGGAGAGCCUAGGCUCCCAAGACUUAUGGCUGAGGAAAUGCACUUCACUCAAGGGGGCCAGGACUACUCUUCAGACCUUUCUUCUGCAACUACCCCACACCCCUGGCUAGCUCAGUUGGGUCUCUUUACCCCACUCCAGGCUGGAUCCUGAGUUUCUCCUGGUAGCCAGGGCAAGCUCUCCCUCUGCCUAAAUCUCUUUACCCACCCCCACUUCCCAUUCUUCAGUGGGCAAUUCGUGCAGCCUCCUCCCUACCCUGCUUUAAUUCACGUUUGAUUGCCUGGACAGAACAACCAGGGGCUCCCAAACGGCUGCCACCCCCAUCCAUGGGCCUGGGUUUUAGACUCUGAGCCCUUUUCUUCAAGCCUCAGGAGGAUCCCCCACAACCUCCCUGACCCCUCUCCUCCCGCCCCCUCCACCCUUCAGCGGUCUCUGUAGGGAAAAAAAUUAAAAGGAGCUGAUCAAGGCCUGAGCCAAAGAGCCACUUCCUCCCCUGGAGCAGCAAACGAGGUACACCUCCCAGAGACCAAUGCCCAAAGCGAAGCCCAACCCUUCCUCCAGGCGUAGGCCCUCCGGUGCUAUUGUGAGGCCUUACCCGAAGC